This 428-nucleotide ribosomal RNA is filed under the name uncultured bacterium. Its description in RNAcentral is "bacterial SSU rRNA". It matches the Rfam family "Bacterial small subunit ribosomal RNA", at positions 917 to 1344 of the family's 1533-position model. The record is from RNAcentral.
GGGCCCGCACAAGCGGUGGAGCAUGUGGUUUAAUUCGAUGCAACGCGAAGAACCUUACCUACCCUUGACAUCCAGAGGACUUUCCAGAGAUGGAUUGGUGCCUUCGGGAACUCUGAGACAGGUGCUGCAUGGCUGUCGUCAGCUCGUGUUGUGAAAUGUUGGGUUAAGUCCCGUAACGAGCGCAACCCCUAUCCUUAUUUGCCAGCGAGUAAUGUCGGGAACUCUAAGGAGACUGCCGGUGACAAACCGGAGGAAGGUGGGGACGACGUCAAGUCAUCAUGGCCCUUACGGGUAGGGCUACACACGUGCUACAAUGGCAAGUACAAAGGGUUGCAAUACGGCGACGUGGAGCCAAUCCCAUAAAGCUUGCCUCAGUCCGGAUUGGAGUCUGCAACUCGACUCCAUGAAGUCGGAAUCGCUAGUAAUCG